This 253-nucleotide ribosomal RNA is filed under the name uncultured bacterium. RNAcentral's name for it is "partial 16S ribosomal RNA". It matches the Rfam family "Bacterial small subunit ribosomal RNA", at positions 524 to 776 of the family's 1533-position model. The record is from RNAcentral.
UACAGAGGGUGCAAGCGUUAAUCGGAAUUACUGGGCGUAAAGCGCGCGUAGUCGGUUAUUUAAGUCGGAUGUGAAAUCCCCGGGCUCAACCUGGGAAUUGCAUUCGAUACUGGAUAGCUAGAGUUCGGCAGAGGGAAGCGGAAUUUCUGGUGUAGCGGUGAAAUGCGUAGAUAUCAGAAGGAACAUCAGUGGCGAAAGCGGCUUCCUGGACCAGAACUGGCGAUCAGGCUCGAAAGCGUGGGGAGCAAACAGG